Molecule: ribosomal RNA, 449 nt
Filed under: uncultured bacterium
Lineage: Bacteria
Description: SSU rRNA
Rfam family: Bacterial small subunit ribosomal RNA
Source: RNAcentral
AGAACGAACGCUGGCGGCAGGCUUAACACAUGCAAGUCGAACGCUCGUAGCAAUACGGGAGUGGCAGACGGGUGAGUAACGCGUGGGAACAUACCCUCCGGUUCGGAAUAGCUCAGGGAAACUUGGAUUAAUACCGGAUACGGCUGAGAGGCGAAAGAUUUAUCGCCGGAGGAUUGGCCCGCGUUCGAUUAGCUUGUUGGUGAGGUAACGGCUCACCAAGGCGAUGAUCGAUAGCUGGUCUGAGAGGAUGAUCAGCCACAUUGGGACUGAGACACGGCCCAAACUCCUACGGGAGGCAGCAGUAAGGAAUCUUCCACAAUGGACGAAAGUCUGAUGGAGCAACGCCGCGUGCAGGAAGACGGUCUUCGGAUUGUAAACUGCUUUUAUUUGGGAAGAUUAUGACGGUACCAAAUGAAAUAAGGACCGGCUAACUACGUGCCAGCAGCCGC